AGCAGGGUGGCCUAGUGGGGAGAGCACUGGCUAGGGAGUCAGAGGAACUGGGUUCUAAUCCCAGCCCUGCCA
RNAcentral lists this transfer RNA (72 nucleotides) under Ornithorhynchus anatinus (platypus). It matches the Rfam family "tRNA". From Rfam's summary of the family: Transfer RNA (tRNA) molecules are approximately 80 nucleotides in length. Their secondary structure includes four short double-helical elements and three loops (D, anti-codon, and T loops). The record is from Rfam by way of RNAcentral. Lineage: Eukaryota; Metazoa; Chordata; Mammalia; Monotremata; Ornithorhynchidae.